Molecule: ribosomal RNA, 237 nt
Filed under: uncultured bacterium
Lineage: Bacteria
Description: partial 16S ribosomal RNA
Rfam family: Bacterial small subunit ribosomal RNA
Source: RNAcentral
GAUCCUGGCUCAGGAUGAACGCUGGCGGCGUGCCUAACACAUGCAAGUCGAACGAAGCUUGACGGAUGAUUUCUUCGGAAUGAAACCAGAUAUGACUUAGUGGCGGACGGGUGGGUAACACGUGAGCAACCUGCCUUUCAGAGGGGGAGUAACGGCUGGAAACGGUCGCUAAUACCGCAUGACGUGUUCGGAUGGCAUCAUCUGAACAUCAAAGAUUUAUCGCUGAAAGAAUGGGCG